This is an RNA transcript of Lates calcarifer (barramundi perch), 7672 nucleotides long. RefSeq lists it as uncharacterized. The record is from RefSeq and is a predicted model, not a curated record. NCBI's taxonomy places the organism in Eukaryota, Metazoa, Chordata, Actinopteri, Centropomidae. The transcript has 5 exons.
CACAGUCAAAAUAAGCAGGUUUUAUUGCAUCAAAAUAAUAAUAUGAGAUAUCAGGGCUACAAAAUACCACAGAUUCAAACCAACAUAACCAUCUCACCUCCAACAUACAGUCUCGCACAUGCGCAGUACUUGCGAGCCCAGGGAACACGGACGCCAUUUUCCACAUGCUCUGUGCCCUCAUGAAAAAUCAACGUCGUCAAAGAUUUGAUUUGUCAGCAAGUGUCUCACCUGAUGGAUGCAAAGCCAGAGGCUCAGAUGUAGUCGCUCUGAAAGUGUGUCUACAAGGUACCAAUUAUUAAAACACUAUAGGUUGAAGCAUGGCCAUUAUGGUCAGAGACACUCAUAUCCAUGCACAUACUAUGAAUGCCCAUGCUCAUUCAAAACAUGGAAUGCUCUUAAAACUCAUUUGAGUAGAUGUCAUGUUGAUGUUUUACAUAAAAGAAGUGUAGAACUAGUAAUAUUUACAUGCCUUUUGUGUCCUGGAAGUGAAAUAUCAUCUAGUAAAGAAUACUGUUCUCAUAUCAACAACCAUUUGAGACGUUAUGAAACAGUAACUUGUAUAUAUCAGAACUAUUCAUUUCAAACUAUAUGCUACUCAAAUCCCAUAAAAGUAGGAAGCAUGCAAAUUGCACCAUAAAAGACUUUAAGUUAAAGUUGAAGUAGUGAAAAGUGGUGAUGUAAAUAGUGAGCAUCAGCUAUCUGAAGAACAUUCAACUGAUUUUGGAGAAAUUACUUCUGACUUAGAUUGUCAUAAUUUGAUUGAAGCUGAUGCACCAAAUGAGAACCUGCAAGACACAAUAACUCAAAAAUUGGCAUCUGUCAUUUUGAAACUAGAGAUCUUGUCACAUGUACCAAGCCAUUGAUGAGUUACUUGAGGAGUUACAUUUCCUUUUUUACCUCUGCUGCAGUGCCUGUAUUACACAGUACAGCCUUUGACAUUCUAAAAAAGCAUAAACCUCAGGUAAAUCAGUCCAUAAUUAAUUAACUCACCCUUGGCAUUUCUACUAAUAAUCCUUUGGUAAAAGUUAUAGCUAAGGGAGGUCCUCUAGCAUCGGUCUUCAAACGUAAACAGUUCUACAAGGAAAAUUUUAAGGUUGUGAAACCUGUUGAGUAUGUACUAGAGGCAAGGUCCAACAAAACCUUUCAGUAUGUUCCCAUACUGAAGUCUCUACAGCAAUUACUUGAACGUAAAGAUAUUGUUGAUAAGCUUGUUGAUAAUCAUACAGCCUGUUCUGCAAAUCCUCACCAAUAUGCAUGUUUUCAGGAUGGAAAGUAUCACAAAGACAAUCCUUUCUUUUCAUGUGAGGAUUUAAGGAUUUCCCUAUGUUUGUACAUCAAUGACUGUGAGGUUUGCAAUCCAAUGGGAACGUCAUGCAAGAAACACAAACUUUGUGCAGUUUAUUGGAUUUUAGGUCACUUGCCUCCUGGUUGCAGCUUGGCCUUGUCCUCAAUCUACUUAGCACUGUUGUGUAAAAGUGAUCAUGUCAAAGCUUAUGGCUAUAAGAAAAUAUUUGAGCCUCUGUUGCUUGAUAUUGUAACUUUAGAGCAGCAAGGGCUGUUUAUUCCACAGCUUGGGUCAUUCAUCAAGGACACAGUACAGUGUGUCGUGGCUGAUAAUCUGGGGGCUCAUGGGCUAGCUGGAUUUGUCGAGAGUUUCUCAGGAAAAUAUUUCUGUCGAUUUUGUACAGCACAGCUUUGUGACAUUCAGGAGCAAGAAGUUAAAUCAGGAGUAUUUCAGAGCAGAAGCAAGGAAGUUCAUCAGCUUCACAUCAGAACAGCUCAAGAAAAAGGGGUAAGCUGCUUUGGUGUAACAAAAGCUUGCAUUUUAACAGACAGCCUCUCUCACUUUAAUGUGAUAAGUGGUUACACUCCAGAUAUUGUCCACGAUCUCUUUGAGGGCAUAGUUCCUGUAGAACUAGCACGGUGUAUUGAAGUACUUCUAUCUAAAAAGUUCUUUACUCUUGAACUUCUUAAUAAUUUUAUCUAUUCUUUUCCAUAUAGAGGGGAAUAAAACUAACCGUCCUCAUUUGUUACCCAAAACUUUACAAAGGAAACAUACAAUAGGUGGCAAUGCCCACGAAAACUGGUGUCUUCUUUGAUUACUUCCUUUAAUUGUUGGAAACCUUGUUCCCAAUGAUGAACCUGCCUGGCAGGUGAUUUUGGUAUUAAAGGAUAUUACAGAAUUGGUUGUUGCCCUUGUUCUGAACUGAAUUGAAAUGCUGGUUAUUGGCCCGGAGUGAUAUAGACACCAGUUCGAUCAAGUAACUAUAUCCCUUGACAACUGUGUUAUCUCUCAAAGUACAACAGUCAAAAAUCUUGGCGUCACAUUUGAUCCUGCUCUUUCCUUCGAUCAGCACAUUAAAGACAUUACAAGGACCGCCUUUUUUCACCUACGUAAUAUAGCUAGGAUUUGGUCUUUUCCUUCCAUGGCAGACGCUGAAAUUCUAGUCCAUGCCUUUGUUUCUUCUAGACUGGAUUAUUGUAAUGUUUUGCUUUCAGGACUACCGCGUGCUAGCACUAAAAGUCUGCAAAUGGUUCAGAACGCUGCAGCUAGAAUGCUAACCAAAUCGCGAAGGUUUGACCAUAUCACCCCAGUUUUAGCCUCCCUUCAUUGGCUCCCUAUAUAUAUGUUAGAUCAGACUUUAAAGUUCUCUUAAUGACUUAUAAAAUUCUAAAUGGGUUAGCCCCCUCAUACCUGUCCAAGCUUCUUAACCCUUAUAUUCCCUUUCGUGCUCUGCAUUCUCAGAGUGCAGGGCUGCUAUCUGUCCCCAGAGUUAAAAAGAAGUCAGCAGGCUGCAGGGCCUUCUCCUAUCAGGCCCCCUUCCUCUGGAACAACCUCCCUAUUAAUAUUAGACAGGCUGACUCAGUUGAGGCCUUUAAAUCCAAACUAAAAACUCAUCUUUAUGCCUUAACUUUCGACUAGCAUAUUAUCCUGGUUCCUAUUUCAGGUUACCAUUUUCCCUCGGUGGGUUGGGUCAGUCUCAAUGCAUCAGUUAAGCUUAAUAGUUAGUAAAUGUUGUCUAUGAUGUCUUAAUAUCACUGCAUCACAUUAACUGUGUGUUUCUUCCCUCAAGCACAUUACUGCCCAGGCUGUGCUUCUCUCUCUCUUCUCUAGUCUCUCACUGCAGGGUUCUGCCUCCGGAGCUGGAGAGUUUCCUGCUGCUCCCAUGAUCCAGCUCAACCAAUAAUACGACAAUAAUUAAACAUUUAUUAGUGUUAAUGAUAGUGUUAGUGCUAUUAAUGUUUCACUGUUUGUCAUUAUUAUUCCUUUAGCUGUAAUAAUAAUUAUUACUAUUAUUAUUAUUAUUAUUAUUAUUACUACUACUAUUUACAUUUUGACUUAGUCUGUGUAUCUGCAAUGUUGUCUUUCUCUUAGCCCCCCCCCUCUCUGUCUAAACCCAAUCGGUCGAGGCAGAUGGCCGCCCACCUUGAGUCCGGUUCUGCUUGAGGUUUCUGCCUCUUAAAAGGAAGUUUUUCCUUGCCACAGUCGCCUAGUGCUUGCUCAUGGUGGGAUCUGUUGGGUUUUUCUCUGUAAAUUUUAUAAGAUAAAGAGUUCGGUCUAGACCGGCUCUAUAUGUACAGUGCCUCGAGAUAACUUCUGUUGUGAAUUGGCGCUAUAUAAAUAAAAUUUGACUUGACUUGUUGAUAGUCUAGAAUCAAUUGCAUACUUGGAGUGCAAAAUCUCAGAGCAUCGAAAAUGUUAUCAGGAACUCUUUCCUGGUCAAAAGUUGUUGCCCAAACAUAAUUUUCUGGAACACUAUCCAGAAAUGAUUAAAUGUUUUGGUCCCCUUGUAUCAUUAUGGACUAUGCGAUUUGAGGCCAAACACAGCUUUUUUAAGCAGGUGGUUAUGCAUAUAAAUAACUUCAAGAAUGUAACUUUGUCAUUAGCAACAAAGCAUCAGUUAAUGGUUGUCUAUAAUAUGCUUUGUCCUGAAAAUGAAAAGUCUUCCUUGGAUGUUGUCCAAGUCUCAAAAGUCCCCAUUGAUGUCCUUAAUGGGGAUGUUGUGAACACAAUUACCCAGACGUACCCUGACAUCACUACUGUAAACCUUGCCCAAAGUAUCACAGUUAAUGGCAUAAAAUACAAAAAAGGUAUGAUAGUUGUGCAUGGAUCAUGUGGGAGUCUGCCAGAAUUCUCAGUGUUAUGAUGGCCCUUUAGCGGCUGGAUUUGCAGUAGUGGAUGAUGAACAAGCCAAGGAUUCAAAGGACUUCGACGUGCAGUUUAUUUACAACCACCACAGUGACACAACUAGAACAAUUGAAAUAGUCAGCCACCAGCAACACAGUUAGAUGGAAAAUGGCUCCUUUUAUACUGUGUCCCUGGUGGACUACAUUGCAUCAUACCAUUGACAGGUAUGCUCCAUUUCUGCUUCCCAGUGAAAUUAUUCCAUUAGGACGUAAUUUCUAAUUUUAGCAAAAUAUUUACAAUGGUGUUUUCCUGUCAUUCACCUCCCAACAAACAUAAACCCCAAAAACACAAUUACACCCAAUAUAUUUAACAUACAAAUUCACCCAGAUCCCCUCUACCUAAUCAGCCACUUGGUCCCUCCCGGAACGUUCUUUUACCCUGUUCGUACCCCGGGGACUUCUUUCGGCCGAACACGGGAGCAGACACAAGAUCGGACCGGUAGAGCCCAGCGCCGGUCACCCAAUACCUGUAUUGUGACAUGUUCAAUACAUAUGCCAUGUAACCAAUCUACACUUACUACUCAAGAUGCAAAUAUCCUGUACAACGCUCUGUGAAUAAUAAAGUGCAAAAUGUCGCUGUUCAUGUUUGUAGUCAUUUGGUACAAGUAAAAUCGUCAUACUCUUCCCCCCACUAUACAAUAUUUACAAGCCAAGGCUGACAGUCACUGGUAACGAAGCGCCCUUCGUUACACUCAGAAAUAAUUCAGCUGUGCAUUAUAAAAAACUAUUUAAGUCUCAUUAAAAACUGAGCUCAUGGUACAGAGAGCACUAUCGAGCAUUUGAGCUGCAUCCAACAAGAGAGCUUGCAGUGGUUGAUCUGAAGGACCUUACUGACCAGUAUACAGUAUAUACUUUGGCUGACUACAGAGUCAGAUCCCUAUGAAUGGUGACUUUAAAAAGAUUUGUACAUGUGACAAGUAAAAAGUGUGUAAAUUAAAAACUUGAAUUUUCAGAUUUCAGUCACUAAUAGUUACUAGUGGGUACCUUAUGAAGGUGUAGCAAUGCAGAAAUUCAUAAUAUAAAAGCUGAUGAAAUUGAAAUUUAAAAAGAUUUCUUUAAUUACUGCUGAAACAAUUUCAUAGGGAUAUUAUACAAAUUUGGUUUUAAAACUUCUAGAGAAAAAAGCAGCUGUGAAAAAUGAGGCAGAAAGGAAAAAGUGAAAAGAGGUGUAAAAUAGGCAGAGGAUACGAAGAGAAAAAAAAGGCAGAAAAUAAAAGGCGUAAAAGAAUGCGAUAAAAGAGGAAAAAAUCAAAGACUCCAAUCUUCUUGACAUAUUAAAAUGUAGAUUUUAUGAAUUGUAGAAUGUAAUGCGUUUCUCAUUUCUGAAUUUGACAAUGAGUUUGUAAACUUGACAGUUACUUCAGAAAUCAAAGACAAGAGCACAGUUAAAGUUAUUUACUUAACAAAUGAGUCAGAUACAACCACUAACCACCUGCUCUGCAGGGGUUAGAUGACAGCUCAUUGUCCACCGCAUCAGACACGGACAUACAUCUUCAGGUUCUUCCCUUAGAUCACAGCCAUGGCCCUCAAACUUCGAGAUACCUCAGUUCAGUUAUGAGGUACAGAUUCAGUUGGAAAGGGCCAACCAAGCCUUCUGUAACAGUGGCACUCUUCUCAGUCCAAGUACCAAACUCAAGUCAGAUAUACUAGAUGGUUUGGCAAAAGAAAUUGUCAAGUACAAAGUUUACCCCUCAAGUGCAGAGUCUGCAUGUGGCUCAGGCUCUGAUAACAAAGUAUCCCUGUUUAUAGGAGCAAGGAUCAAUCACUGGCUUCUAUGGAUGGAAAAUAAGUCUUAAGUACAAAAUGGCAAACUACCGCACUAGACUAAGGAACACUGGCUGCCCAGAGUUGAGCAUCAAUGCUGUAAAAGAAAAGCGAGGUGCCAUGAGUCAAAGCCCUAAUCAAGUGAAGAAACCAAGGAAAACCGAGGUCAACAUCUGUCCUGAUUACCCGGCAGGUGAAAUUAAGGAAACCCUCAAGGAGGAAAGGCAAGUACUUACAUUAGAGGAAAAGAAGAAGAACAAUCAACAGCUCAUCAGUAAAAUCGAAAGAACCUUUGCAUACAGAAGACAGGAAGUAAUCGAGGAUAUGCCCUUCAUAGCAGAGUUCAAAAACAGAUGGCCAGCUCUGUUUCUGGAGAGUCAGGUAAUGUAUUACUCAGGCUGUGUAUUUUAUUGUCCAUUUGUCCAUGUAUCUUAAAUUUAAAAAAAGACUUGACUGUGUAAGUGUAGAUCCAAAUCUUGUGAUUAAGGUGAAUGGACAAAGUCAGCUAAUUUGAAAUUGACAAAAGUUUAGAGGAAAAGUGAAAAUAUUCCAUGCAUGUGGCUUGACAGCACCUAAAGACAUUCAGCCAAAAGCAAGCUGAUUAUGUGGUAAUGUGAGGUCAUUUUUUGUUAAAUGUGAUAUUCACAGCAGAUUAUGUUUCAAUAUGUUUCAGGUAAAUGCUGAGUUCACCCGCAUCACUACAGUCCCCCUGCUCUCAACCUUUAUGGCCCAACUGGAUCAUUACUCCGGCCAGUUCAAAAAAAAGGGGGGAAGUGGGGGACAGCAGGACACACUAUCAGCCUGAUCAUGGCAGUCAUGGACAAGAAUCCCAUUGUUGAAGUAUGAUGGGAAUGCAUAGUAAAAGCAUUAAGAGCCUGUUGGCCUUGUUAAGGAGUACUUGGUAAGUUACAACAGUAUUUAUCAACCAUUGCAUAAUUGAAAAAUCUAGAUGUCCCUAUGUUCUGGGUCUUUUGCCAUCUCCUGACCGCUCGGGUGGUGACUGACCUUUUUCUUGCAAGGAAAAUAAAACUUUGUCGGCCAGCAGAAGUCUCUAUUUCAUUCUUCACCAGCAGCUGAGAAAAUUUCCACAACAAAUACACCUUCAAAUUUCUUCAGAAAGUGGUGAUGGGAUUGGAUGGGAACAAGCUCUCCACAAAAGUACAAAUCCUCAAAAACAAACUGCAUGAAUGAAAUCACCUACAGCAGACAAGAUUAGACCUGGAAUUGGACCUCACUGAAAACCUUCAAUUUGGACUAAUGUUGGAGAAAACAAUGAGCAAUCUAAAGCCCAAAUUUAGUUUGAUGGUAAUGAUUGUGCUGUUUAAAGUUUUCACCAGUGAUACACAUUCAGAUUUCUUCACAAAGUGAUGGAGUUGGGUUCCAUCAUGAUAAAUGUCCUCAUAAAAACAAUGCACAAGUGAAAUCACCUGCAGUAGACAAGACUGGACCUGUGACUCUUAACUCCCUUUUUGUUUGUUUUGAAAGUGACUGGAACAGAGUGGGAAGUGUAAAUGACGUUUUAGGUAAUUGCUGCGCUGUUAAUUUCUUUGGGCAGGCAACCGUUUCAGUUAUUUGAGACACAUUGUGCUUGUGUUGGAGGUUCUUGACAGAUUGAUUAAGUGUAAUUUCAAAUGAUUCAGUUGGGGGACUUAUAUACAUUUUAAUUUAUAUGUUUAUAUGGUAUGUGUUAAGUACCAGAAACAAUUUUGUUUACAUUGUG